UGGGGAAUAUUGCACAAUGGGCGCAAGCCUGAUGCAGCAACGCCGCGUGAGGGACGACGGCCUUCGGGUUGUAAACCUCUUUUAGUAGGGAAGAAGCGAAAGUGACGGUACCUGCAGAAAAAGCACCGGCUAACUACGUGCCAGCAGCCGCGGUAAUACGUAGGGUGCAAGCGUUGUCCGGAAUUAUUGGGGCGUAAAGAGCUCGUAGGCGGUUUGUCGCGUCUGCUGUGAAAACCCGAGGCUCAACCUCGGGCCUGCAGUGGGUACGGGCAGACUAGAGUGCGGUAGGGGAGAAUGGAAUUCCUGGUGUAGCGGUGGAAUGCGCAGAUAUCAGGAGGAACACCGAUGGCGAAGGCAGUUCUCUGGGCCGUAACUGACGCUGAGGAGCGAAAGCGUGGGGAGCGAACAGGAUUAGAUACCCUGGUAGUCCACGCCGUAAACGUUGGGCGCUAGAUGUGGGGACCAUUCCACGGUUUCCGUGUCGCAGCUAACGCAUU
This 497-nucleotide ribosomal RNA is filed under the name uncultured bacterium. Its description in RNAcentral is "partial 16S ribosomal RNA". It matches the Rfam family "Bacterial small subunit ribosomal RNA", at positions 355 to 861 of the family's 1533-position model. The record is from RNAcentral.